RNAcentral lists this ribosomal RNA (278 nucleotides) under uncultured prokaryote. RNAcentral's name for it is "partial 16S ribosomal RNA". It matches the Rfam family "Bacterial small subunit ribosomal RNA", at positions 524 to 801 of the family's 1533-position model. The record is from RNAcentral.
UACGGAGGAUCCGAGCGUUAUCCGGAUUUAUUGGGUUUAAAGGGUGCGCAGGCGGGGGAUUAAGUCGGCGGUGAAAUUUUGCAACUCAACUGUAAAAGUGCCUUCGAAACUGGUUUCCUUGAGUGUAGAUGAAGUAGGCGGAAUUUGUGGUGUAGCGGUGAAAUGCAUAGAUAUCACGAGGAACUCCGAUUGCGCGGGCAGCUUACUAAACUACUACUGACGCUCAGGCACGAAGGCGUGGGGAUCAAACAGGAUUAGAUACCCGUGUAGUCCCUGAG